GAUGAACGCUGGCGGCGUGCCUAAUACAUGCAAGUCGAGCGAACAGACGAGGAGCUUGCUCCUCUGACGUUAGCGGCGGACGGGUGAGUAACACGUGGAUAACCUACCUAUAAGACUGGGAUAACUUCGGGAAACCGGAGCUAAUACCGGAUAAUAUAUUGAACCGCAUGGUUCAAUAGUGAAAGACGGUUUUGCUGUCACUUAUAGAUGGAUCCGCGCCGCAUUAGCUAGUUGGUAAGGUAACGGCUUACCAAGGCAACGAUGCGUAGCCGACCUGAGAGGGUGAUCGCCCACACUGGAACGGAGACACGGUCCAGACUCCUAAGGGAGGCAGCAGUAGGGAAUCGUACGCAAUGGGCGAAAGCCUGACGGAGCAACGGCGCGUGAGUGAUGAAGGUCUCCGGAGCGUAAAACCCUGUUAUGAGGGAAGAACAAAUGUGGAAGUAACUAUGCACGUAUUGACGGUACCUAAUAAGAAAGCCACGGCUAACUACGUG
Molecule: ribosomal RNA, 497 nt
Filed under: uncultured bacterium
Lineage: Bacteria
Description: partial 16S ribosomal RNA
Rfam family: Bacterial small subunit ribosomal RNA
Source: RNAcentral